Peromyscus californicus insignis is the source of this 2658-nucleotide long non-coding RNA. RefSeq lists it as uncharacterized. The record is from RefSeq and is a predicted model, not a curated record. The transcript is spliced from 3 exons. Lineage: Eukaryota; Metazoa; Chordata; Mammalia; Rodentia; Cricetidae.
GAGAGAAAGGGAGAGCCAGAGGUGAAGCACGUUCCACGGCCAGGCAUGGGGCUGCAGUGUGGACGGCUCCUGCAUUCUGCUCCAGCUUCCAUUUGGAAAUGGCCGCGAAUUACAGAAGUUGCAAAAAUAAAAACGGAAAAUACCUUUCUGCCCAGGCUCUCCGAUUACUUCCAUCUGGCCCCCACUGCCACGCUUUUUCUGAGCGAUGUAAGGGUAAGACACAUGCAUGCCAUGACCCUUGACCUCUGGAUCCCUCAGGUGUGUCUCCUGAGGACAGAGCUGCUUUCUCACAUACGCAGCGUCCUGUGUGGGCAGUUAACGUCCAUGCCCACUCUUUGUAUGUUCAGACGUGCAGUGGCCCCAGCGACAGUCCUUGUAGCGGGUUUCCGCUCCCCCCCACCCCCAGCCUAAUGGCACAGCAGAUGCCUGCUGCUCAGUUCCUGCCCUGGUCUUUUCACAGAGUGGGCAAGCCAUCCCUAGCCUGCCCUCUCAGGUUGGCUCUACCCGCACACCACCUGGACACUUGCUCACUGAAGAUAUAGUCCCCUCAAAAGCCCCGUUUCUUCUGUCAACCUCACUGAGGAGUUAGCUUUGCUCUAGGAAACAUCUGGGAGAAAAUGUUUUAGUAUGAUGUGAUUUUUUUUUCCUCCUAGCAUGAAUGAAACAAAUUCUCUUGGUUAAGGUUUCAGUACUUUAUCAUCAUCCCAUCUAAACCCGUCGUAUAUCCACCAGUUCUGAGCACGCCACAUGUGAGGACAGAGCGUCUCAUACUAUGCCAAGAGAGUCACCCGAAAGAUUCCUUAAACAUGGAUUUGCUAUUUCCUCCCUGGCAGCUUCAGAUUUAUUACUUCCGGGGGCCUCUAAACAGAUCUGCCUGACACCGAGACCUCAUUAAAGUGUCUCCAAAGCUAAGCAAAGGCCAUCCCGACUGCAACACCCUCUCUCAUUAAUGUCCCUCCAGGCUGCUGCGGGAUAUCAGGUGUUUGAUGAUGGGCAGGGAGGGGGGCACAAUAAUAAAAUGCCACAGUGGGAGAAUGGAUUAUUGUUUACAGGCAUUUUAAUAUAAAAACGACCACUACUGAGUUGGCUUUUACAGACUUUCUGAGACACUGUCUCAGAAAGAGACACGACAUGACAUAUAAAUAAGAUGACUCAAGCAAAGCUUGGCUGCUGUCUUCUUUUCCUGUAUUGUCCCAGACUCAAGGGUCUUGGUUAUAGCAGAGGGCAAGGUUUUCAGAACAAACAUCAGAGGAUUAUGGAAAAUCUGGCGGCUCUAACUCUCUGUGUCCACACCCACCCCUGACCAGUUUCCAUGGCCUGCUGGGUUCUUUCAAAGUCCAUGCCCUCUUAGUUUGCCGCCUGUCCACUUGGCCUUGAAUGAUACUCAUCUCCUCAUUCUGUAGAGCUGAGGGUUAGUAACCAUUCAUUUCCCUUCCUGGCACACCCAAAGGCCUUUGCUUGACUGUCUGGGCUUCCCUGUUUUGGGUCCAAGCAUGAUUUUGCAUGGUUCUUAUCUCCAGGUUGCACUUCAGACCAUUCUGUCCACCUGCAGUAUACAGCCUGGUAUUUAGUAACUAGAGGCUCUCGGUUGGUGUUGGAUCCUGGGGUGGUGGGAGUCUGGGAGCUGCACUCAGGAGGCCCCACCUCCUGAAACUCCUUCCUAGCAUAUGUCAGAGAGGCAUGAGCAGACAGGUAGACUAGAUCAGGGUGACACCCAGAGCAGCCGUGGCUUCAUUUAUCCUGGCAAAGUCAGAGGCCUCACACCUCUUACAACUGCCCUGGAGAUGAACAAAAGGACCAGGAUGUCACAACAGAAAAGGGUACUACAAAUCUGGGGAGAGGGCUCAGCGGGUAGAUGCUUGCUGUGCAAGCCGAGGACCCAGGUUUGGAUCCCCAGAACCCACAGAAAAGCCAGUCAUGGCACUGCAAACUUCAGGCUUCAACAUUCCACAUCAACCUGUGGUCCACACGCACACCAUGUUGGUGAGUGCGCACACACACAGAAAAAAGACAGCAUAUGGGAAGAUACACUCAGGCCCCAGAACUGCGUGGUGCUCUCAGGCUGCCUCUUCCUAACUCUACGAAUUCCUCAUGUAGUCCCCUGCCUGGCUCUGCUGCUAGAGAUGGAGAAUGCUCCACCAAUGGCAGCGGCUGCUCAUCCUAGAAAGAAUUCCUGGUCCUACCACCUCCCUCCCACAGGUACGGUCUAGCAAACUUUCCUUGGGGAAGCAGGACCAAGAAGGCGGCCCACCAGGAAGGCUACACACUGGGUCGGUGACCAGACACCUUUCAGACGGUGGAUCAACCUGUGAUGGUUCCUUCUGUGGAUGGCCCCUCCUUUUCAGCUCUGGGAAGGAAAGAUAUGCCAAGAGAGGAGAAGGCGGGAGAGAACGAGAAGGCAGAGGGAGGGGGAGAGGAAGAGGGGAUGUAUCCAUCUCUUUAUCUAGCAUCAGAAGAAUACAGAAAGGAAGAAACUGUAAAAGAUAAAGGCAGCUUGUGGAGAUAUGACCAGGCCUGGGUCAGAGAGAGACGCACAUGAGUACAGGGGAGAGAAAGAUGGGGUGACAGGCUGUGUAGGGGGAGACACUGCCUGACUCAGGGCCUCAGACCUAGGCUGGUGGAGGCAGAGUCCUCAGGGCUCCAUGCCAAAACACGAGG